This 494-nucleotide ribosomal RNA is filed under the name uncultured bacterium. Its description in RNAcentral is "partial 16S ribosomal RNA". It matches the Rfam family "Bacterial small subunit ribosomal RNA", at positions 28 to 507 of the family's 1533-position model. The record is from RNAcentral.
GACGAACGCUGGCGGCGUGCUUAACACAUGCAAGUCGAACGGAAAGGCCUGCUUUCCCUUGUGGAUUGCGGGUACUCGAGUGGCGAACGGGUGAGUAACACGUGAGUGAUCUGCCCCCAACUUGGGUAUAAGCCUGGGAAACUGGGUCUAAUUCCCGAUAGGACUGCAGGGUGGUGCCUGUGGUGGAAAACGAUUUUCUAGUGGUUGGGGAUGAGCUCGCGGCCUAUCAGCUUGUUGGUGGGGUAAUGGCCUACCAAGGCGGCGACGGGUAGCCGGCCUGGGAGGGUGGACGGCCACAUUGGGACUGGGAUACGGCCCAGACUCCUACGGGAGGCAGCAGUGGGGAAUAUUGCACAAUGGGCGGAAGCCUGAUGCAGCGACGCCGCGUGGGGGAUGACGGCCUUCGGGUUGUAAACUCCUUUCGACCGCGAGGAAGCCACCUGGUUGGAAGGGUGGUGACGGUAGUGGUAGAAGAAGCACCGGCUAACUACGUG